Molecule: ribosomal RNA, 529 nt
Filed under: uncultured bacterium
Lineage: Bacteria
Description: bacterial SSU rRNA
Rfam family: Bacterial small subunit ribosomal RNA
Source: RNAcentral
AAUAGAUACCCGGGUAGUCCACGCCGUAAACGAUGAGUGCUAAGUGUUAGAGGGUUUCCGCCCUUUAGUGCUGCAGCUAACACAUUAAGCACUCCGCCUGGGGAGUACGGUCGCAAGACUGAAACUCAAAGGAAUUGACGGGGGCCCGCACAAGCGGUGGAGCAUGUGGUUUAAUUCGAAGCAACGCGAAGAACCUUACCAGGUCUUGACAUCCCACUGACCGGUAUAGAGAUAUACCUUUCCCUUCGGGGACAGUGGUGACAGGUGGUGCAUGGUUGUCGUCAGCUCGUGUCGUGAGAUGUUGGGUUAAGUCCCGCAACGAGCGCAACCCUUGAUCUUAGUUGCCAGCAUUUAGUUGGGCACUCUAAGGUGACUGCCGGUGACAAACCGGAGGAAGGUGGGGAUGACGUCAAAUCAUCAUGCCCCUUAUGACCUGGGCUACACACGUGCUACAAUGGAUGGUACAAAGGGCUGCAAGACUGCGAAGUCAAGCCAAUCCCAUAAAACCAUUCUCAGUUCGGAUUGCAGG